This 427-nucleotide ribosomal RNA is filed under the name uncultured prokaryote. RNAcentral's name for it is "bacterial SSU rRNA". It matches the Rfam family "Bacterial small subunit ribosomal RNA", at positions 355 to 774 of the family's 1533-position model. The record is from RNAcentral.
UGAGGAAUUUUGCGCAAUGGGGGAACCCUGACGCAGCAACGCCGCGUGGGUGAUGAAGGCCUUCGGGUCGUAAAGCCCUGUCAGGUGGGAAGAAUGUCCCGGGACUGAACAGGUUCCGGGAGUGACGGUACCACCAGAGGAAGCACCGGCUAACUCCGUGCCAGCAGCCGCGGUAAUACGGAGGGUGCAAGCGUUAUUCGGAAUUACUGGGCGUAAAGCGCGUGUAGGCGGCCCUGCAAGUCUGAUGUGAAAGCCCUGGGCUUAACCCGGGAAGUGCAUUGGAAACUGUCUUUCUUGAGUACUGGAGAGGAAGGGGGAAUUCCCGGUGUAGAGGUGAAAUUCGUAGAGAUCGGGAGGAAUACCAGUGGCGAAGGCGCCCUUCUGGACGGUUACUGACGCUGAGACGCGAAAGCGUGGGGAGCAAACA